Molecule: ribosomal RNA, 465 nt
Filed under: uncultured bacterium
Lineage: Bacteria
Description: partial 16S ribosomal RNA
Rfam family: Bacterial small subunit ribosomal RNA
Source: RNAcentral
GACGAACGCUGGCGGCAUGCUUAACACAUGCAAGUCGUACGGUAAGGCCCUUUCGGGGGUACACGAGUGGCGAACGGGUGAGUAACACGUGAGUAACCUGCCCACAACUUUGGGAUAACGCUAGGAAACUGGUGCUAAUACUGGAUAUGUGCUCCUGCUGCAUGGUGGGGGUUGGAAAGCUCCGGCGGUUGUGGAUGGACUCGCGGCCUAUCAGCUUGUUGGUGGGGUAGUGGCCUACCAAGGCGGCGACGGGUAGCCGGCCUGAGAGGGUGACCGGCCACAUUGGGACUGAGAUACGGCCCAGACUCCUACGGGAGGCAGCAGUGGGGAAUAUUGCACAAGGGGCGCAAGCCUGAUGCAGCAACGCCGCGUGCGGGAUAACGGCCUUCGGGUUGUAAAACGCUUUCAGCAGGGACGAAGCUUUUUGUGACGGUACCUGCAGAAGAAGCACCGGCUAACUACGUG